Long non-coding RNA from Mesoplodon densirostris (Blainville's beaked whale), 815 nucleotides. RefSeq lists it as uncharacterized. The record is from RefSeq and is a predicted model, not a curated record. The transcript is spliced from 6 exons. Lineage: Eukaryota; Metazoa; Chordata; Mammalia; Artiodactyla; Ziphiidae.
CUCCCCUCUCCGGGAACCGCGCUCCGGCUGCUACUAAUUCAGGGGAGGAUGUCAACCAGACUCUGCAGUGACUUGCAACUUAGAAGACAGGUAAUUCUAGAGCAUGUUUGAUACGACAAAGGAAGAGAACAGUGGACCUAGGCUGCAAAUGGAGCUCAGAAGUGGAAAGGCACCGGGCCUUCGAUGGAGUAUUUCACUGAGAGCAGUAGGUGGAGCGCACAGGAUGGUACAGAAGCACGUGCCUUGCUCUUUGGUGGUUGGAAGGUUGCUGAGAGUUUUUUAUCACGAAUAGAUGUUGAAUUUUGUCAAAUGCUGUUUUUGGAAGCUAUCAAGAGCUGCCACCCUGCUCCGUCUGCUGUCUCCAGGGUCUCCAGGUCUCCCUCAGCCUCCACACUCAGCUUUUAGCACGUUAUUACAAGUAUCUAGCUGAAGCUUCUUAUUGACUCUACAGCCUCUGACAAUAUCUGCCCCAGAUUUUGUGUCUAAACUGAGAAUCAUGCAAAAUGAUUGUUACUGCACUUCCGUCCUGUGAAAGGCAGGCAGGAAACCGCCCCUCCCAGGGUGGGGAGAAACCGGUGGACCCCCGCAGCCCAGCACCCCAUCUAGUUGAUGGAGAUGAAGGGAGGAGCUGCUGAAGCAGAGGAAGCUGUGCGCAUGCGUGCCUCGGUGGGGGCGGAAUCGGGAGGGACGGAGUGAUGGAGCGCGAUGCUGACAAAAGCAUCACUUGUCACGUAUGGGGCAUGCCCUAUGCAGGAGCAGUGUUCUAAGCACUGUAUAUGAUGGUCUCAUUUGAUUUCAACAACCCAAUUAAAGGA